ACACUCAAUUGGCAUCAAGAGUACAUUUCAUCUGAGGGGAAUAAAUGAUUGAGACACUUCCUUUCCCAAAGGUAAGGUUUACCUCUUACAUGCUGGAUGAGUUGUCCCUGUGAUCUCCUCAAAUGUGAGGAAAUUCACUGCAGUGUCUGUGGUAGUGUGGAACUGCAUUUGUGCUUCACCCUG
Junco hyemalis (dark-eyed junco) is the source of this 183-nucleotide small nuclear RNA. Its record names the gene U1. It matches the Rfam family "U1 spliceosomal RNA". From Rfam's summary of the family: U1 is a small nuclear RNA (snRNA) component of the spliceosome (involved in pre-mRNA splicing). Its 5' end forms complementary base pairs with the 5' splice junction, thus defining the 5' donor site of an intron. The record is from Ensembl. Lineage: Eukaryota; Metazoa; Chordata; Aves; Passeriformes; Passerellidae.